AGGUCAAACUCAGGUCACAGAGGUCAAACUCAGGUCACAUAGGUCACAACAGGUCAAGCACGGAUCAGAGACAUCAUAGCAGGUUAGACUCAGGUCAUGAGGUCAUAUCAGGUCAGGUACGGGUCAAAGACACCAUAGCAGGUAAGACACGGGUCACAGAGGUCACAACAG
Amphibalanus amphitrite is the source of this 171-nucleotide long non-coding RNA. RefSeq lists it as uncharacterized. The transcript has 3 exons. The record is from RefSeq and is a predicted model, not a curated record. NCBI's taxonomy places the organism in Eukaryota, Metazoa, Arthropoda, Thecostraca, Balanomorpha, Balanidae.